GAAGAAGCACCGGCUAACUCCGUGCCAGCAGCCGCGGUAAUACGGAGGGUGCCAAGCGUUAUUGGAAUUAUUGGCGUAAAGCCACCGCAGGCGUUCUGUAAGUCAAAUGAAAUCCCCGGGGCUUAACCUGUGAACUGCACUUGAAACUGGCAGGCUUGAGUCUCGUAGAGGGGGGUAGAAUUCCAGGUGUAGCGGUGAAAAUGCGUAGAGAUUUGGAGAAUACCGGUGGCGAAGGCGGCCCCCUGGACGAAGACUGACGCUCAGGUGCGAAAGCGUGGGAGCAAACAGGAUUAGAUACCCUGGUAGUCCACGCCGUAAACGAUGUCGACUUGGAGGUUGUUCCCUUGAGGAGUGGCUUCCGGAGCUAACGCGUUAAGUCGACCGCCUGGGGAGUACGGCCGCAAGGUUAAAACUCAAAUGAAUUGACGGGGGCCCGCACAAGCGGUGGAGCAUGUGGUUUAAUUCGAUGCAACGCGAAGAACCUUACCUACUCUUGACAUCCAGAGAACUUAGCAGAGAUGCUUUGGUGCCUUCGGGAACUCUGAGACAGGUGCUGCAUGGCUGUCGUCAGCUCGUGUUGUGAAAUGUUGGGUUAAGUCCCGCAACGAGCGCAACCCUUAUCCUUUGUUGCCAGCGAUUCGGUCGGGAACUCAAAGGAGACUGCCGGUGAUAAACCGGAGGAAGGUGGGGAUGACGUCAAGUCAUCAUGGCCCUUACGAGUAGGGCUACACACGUGCUACAAUGGCGCAUACAAAGAGAAGCGACCUCGCGAGAGCAAGCGGACCUCACAAAGUGCGUCGUAGUCCGGAUCGGAGUCUGCAACUCGACUCCGUGAAGUCGGAAUCGCUAGUAAUCGUGGAUCAGAAUGCCACGGUGAAUACGUUCCCGGGCCUUGUACACACCGCCC
This 907-nucleotide ribosomal RNA is filed under the name uncultured bacterium. RNAcentral's name for it is "bacterial SSU rRNA". It matches the Rfam family "Bacterial small subunit ribosomal RNA", at positions 484 to 1395 of the family's 1533-position model. The record is from RNAcentral.